RNAcentral lists this ribosomal RNA (869 nucleotides) under uncultured Micrococcineae bacterium. RNAcentral describes it as "bacterial SSU rRNA". It matches the Rfam family "Bacterial small subunit ribosomal RNA", at positions 28 to 911 of the family's 1533-position model. Lineage: Bacteria; Bacillati; Actinomycetota; Actinomycetes; Micrococcales. The record is from RNAcentral.
GACGAACACUGGCGGCGUGCUUAACACAUGCAAGUGGAGGGAUGAAGCACCUUCGGGUGUGAAUUAGCGGCGAACGGGUGAGGAACACGUGAGAAAUCUGCCUUCAACACUGGGAUAACUCCGGGAAACCGGGGCUAAUACCGGAUAUGAAAUCUGCGGGCAUCCGCGGAUUUGGAAAGUUUUUCGGUUGAAGAUGAUCUCGCGGCCUAUCAGCUUGUUGGUGAGGUAAUGGCUCACCAAGGCGACGACGGGUAGCCGGCCUGAGAGGGCGACCGGCCACACUGGGACUGAGACACGGCCCAGACUCCUACGGGAGGCAGCAGUGGGGAAUAUUGCGCAAUGGGCGAAAGCCUGACGCAGCAACGCCGCGUGAGGGAUGAAGGCCUUCGGGUUGUAAACCUCUUUUAGCAGGGAAGAAGCGAAAGUGACGGUACCUGCAGAAAAAGCACCGGCUAACUACGUGCCAGCAGCCGCGGUAAUACGUAGGGUGCAAGCGUUAUCCGGAAUUAUUGGGCGUAAAGAGCUCGUAGGCGGUUUGUCGCGUCUGCUGUGAAAAUCUGAGGCUCAACCUCGGACUUGCAGUGGGUACGGGCAGACUAGAGUGCAGUAGGGGAGAAGGGAAUUCCUGGUGUAGCGGUGGAAUGCGCAGAUAUCAGGAGGAACACCAAUGGCGAAGGCACUUCUCUGGGCUGUAACUGACGCGGAGGAGCGAAAGCGUGGGGAGCGAACAGGAUUAGAUACCCUGGUAGUCCACGCCGUAAACGUUGGGAACUAGAUGUAGGGUCCAUUCCACGGAUUCUGUGUCGCAGCUAACGCAUUAAGUUCCCCGCCUGGGGAGUACGGCCGCAAGGCUAAAAAUCAAAGGAAUU